GCAAUCGAAGGCUUGCAAGGGCGGUCGGCUAAUCUCCCCGAGGGGGGUGAGGCCAAUGGAGGUGUAUCAAGCGUUGUCUUUGAUCUUCAUGUUCGGCAUGUUCAUUAUUGCAUUGCUGAAUUACCUCAAAAAGAAAUAGACCGCCCUCGCCAAAGGAUGCGGUCUAUUUCUGCCCGUAAUACCUAAAGCCGCCGCCCUUAAAAGCGGCUAUUGCUCAGGGAGUCGUGUUGAAGCACCGCUC
RNAcentral lists this small RNA (241 nucleotides) under Paenibacillus stellifer. RNAcentral's name for it is "BsrG". It matches the Rfam family "BsrG". From Rfam's summary of the family: bsrE, bsrG and bsrH pair through intermolecular interactions with antisense sRNAs. Lineage: Bacteria; Bacillati; Bacillota; Bacilli; Caryophanales; Paenibacillaceae. The record is from Rfam by way of RNAcentral.